GUCUUUUUGAAUUUAAUUUAAAGUCUAAUCUGCCCUAUGAAAAAUUUUAAAUGGCCGCAGUAUCCUGACUGUGCAAAGGUAGCAUAAUAAUUUGUCUUUUAAUUAAAGGCUGGUAUGAAGGAUUGAACGAAGUAUAAACUGUCUCUAUUUAAUUAAAUAUUUGAAUUUAAUUUUUAAGUUAAAAAGCUUAAAUUUAUUUAAAGGACGAGAAGACCCUAUAGAGUUUAAUUAUGAAAUUUAUAUUAAAUUUUAAUUUUAUUUUAUUAUAUGUAUUUAUAAUUUUAUUGGGGCGAUUGAAAAAUUUAAUAAACUUUUUUAUUUAAUUUAACAUUUGUAAGUGAAUUUUUGAUCCUAUUUUUUAGAUUAAUAGAUUAAAUUACCUUAGGGAUAACAGCGUUAUUUUUUUUAGAGUUCUUAUCGAUAAUAAAGAUUGCGACCUCGAUGUUGGAUUAAAAUUUAAUUUUGGUGGAGAAGCUAAAAUUUUAGGUCUGUUCGACCUUUGAAAUUUUACA
RNAcentral lists this ribosomal RNA (512 nucleotides) under Nematinus luteus. Its description in RNAcentral is "partial 16S ribosomal RNA". The stretch from base 387 to 512 matches the Rfam family "Bacterial large subunit ribosomal RNA", at positions 2473 to 2600 of the family's 2925-position model. Lineage: Eukaryota; Metazoa; Arthropoda; Insecta; Hymenoptera; Tenthredinidae. The record is from RNAcentral.